UACGUAGGGUGCAAGCGUUACUCGGAAUUACUGGGCGUAAAGCGUGCGUAGGUGGUUCGUUAAGUCUGAUGUGAAAGCCCUGGGCUCAACCUGGGAAUGGCAUUGGAAACUGGCGACCUAGAGUGCGGUAGAGGGUAGUGGAAUUCCCGGUGUAGCAGUGAAAUGCGUAGAGAUCGGGAGGAACAUCUGUGGCGAAGGCGACUGCCUGGACCAGCACUGACACUGAGGCACGAAAGCGUGGGGAGCAAACAGG
This 253-nucleotide ribosomal RNA is filed under the name uncultured bacterium. Its description in RNAcentral is "partial 16S ribosomal RNA". It matches the Rfam family "Bacterial small subunit ribosomal RNA", at positions 524 to 776 of the family's 1533-position model. The record is from RNAcentral.